RNAcentral lists this ribosomal RNA (254 nucleotides) under uncultured bacterium. RNAcentral describes it as "partial 16S ribosomal RNA". It matches the Rfam family "Bacterial small subunit ribosomal RNA", at positions 524 to 776 of the family's 1533-position model. The record is from RNAcentral.
CACGUAGGGUGCGAGCGUUGUCCGGAAUUAUUGGGCGUAAAGAGCUCGUAGGCGGUGUGUCGCGUCGGCCGUGAAAACCUGCAGCUUAACUGUGGGCUUGCGGUCGAUACGGGCAUCACUGGAGUUCGGCAGGGGAGACUGGAAUUCCUGGUGUAGCGGUGAAAUGCGCAGAUAUCAGGAGGAACACCGAUGGCGAAGGCAGGUCUCUGGGCAUUAACUGACGCUGAGGAGCGAAAGCGUGGGGAUCAAACAGG